RNAcentral lists this transfer RNA (19 nucleotides) under Meloidogyne incognita (southern root-knot nematode). RNAcentral describes it as "partial tRNA-His". The record is from RNAcentral. Lineage: Eukaryota; Metazoa; Nematoda; Chromadorea; Rhabditida; Meloidogynidae.
AAAGCUAUUAAUUUCAAUU